Long non-coding RNA from Raphanus sativus (radish), 456 nucleotides. RefSeq lists it as uncharacterized. The record is from RefSeq and is a predicted model, not a curated record. Lineage: Eukaryota; Viridiplantae; Streptophyta; Magnoliopsida; Brassicales; Brassicaceae. The transcript has 2 exons.
UUACCUUUCUUGGCCGGCAGUAUCCCAUAUUUGAGCUUUGACAAUCUUGUCGUCGACUUGAAUGCUUCGUGUGGCGAAUUCAACGCCGAUGGUCGAGCGUGAGUCGUGGCUGAAGUCAUUUUUGGUGAAUCGGGAAAGCAGAUUUGAUUUUCCAACACCGGAAUCUCCUGUUAAGACAACUUUGAACAGAUAAAAAUAUCCAACAUAGAUUGUUUGGCUGUUCCUAGAACUUUGGAUGAAAAGGAAAUCUGUACUCUUCAAAUUGUUUUCCUUUUUGAGUUUUGUUUAUUUUAUAUCUUAUAACUCUGACGUUUCCUAAAUUGGAGAAGAGACCAAUGUUUACGAAUGUUGAAUUUAUGAUGAGACCAAGAUGAUUCAGAGAAUCAAGGACUCUCAUCUAUUUUACUUGUCAUAUCAAUUUUUGGGAUAAAUCUAAAUAUAUACUUUUUGUGAUGA